Molecule: transfer RNA, 75 nt
Filed under: Methylomonas sp.
Lineage: Bacteria; Pseudomonadati; Pseudomonadota; Gammaproteobacteria; Methylococcales; Methylococcaceae
Also listed under: 31 other names
Description: tRNA-Gln
Rfam family: tRNA
About the family: Transfer RNA (tRNA) molecules are approximately 80 nucleotides in length.
Source: RNAcentral
UGGGCUGUCGCCAAGCGGUAAGGCACGAGGUUUUGAUCCUCGCAUACCAAGGUUCGAAUCCUUGCAGCCCAGCCA